GCGACCGUGGUCUAACGGUUAUGAUUGGGCCUUGCCAAGGCUCAGACCCGGGUUCAAUUCCCGGCGGUCGCA
This 72-nucleotide transfer RNA is filed under the name Candidatus Iainarchaeum sp. RNAcentral's name for it is "tRNA-Gly". It matches the Rfam family "tRNA". Rfam says of the family: Transfer RNA (tRNA) molecules are approximately 80 nucleotides in length. The record is from RNAcentral. Lineage: Archaea; Nanobdellati; Candidatus Iainarchaeota; Candidatus Iainarchaeia; Candidatus Iainarchaeales; Candidatus Iainarchaeaceae.